This 120-nucleotide ribosomal RNA is filed under the name Helianthus annuus (common sunflower). Lineage: Eukaryota; Viridiplantae; Streptophyta; Magnoliopsida; Asterales; Asteraceae. The record is from RNAcentral.
GGUUGCGAUCAUACCAGCACUAAUGCACCGGAUCCCAUCAGAACUCCGCAGUUAAGCGUGCUUGGGCGAGAGUAGUACUAGGAUGGGUGACCCCCCUGGGAAGUCGUCGUGUUUCAACCC